This 253-nucleotide ribosomal RNA is filed under the name uncultured bacterium. Its description in RNAcentral is "partial 16S ribosomal RNA". It matches the Rfam family "Bacterial small subunit ribosomal RNA", at positions 524 to 776 of the family's 1533-position model. The record is from RNAcentral.
UACAGAGACUGCAAGCGUUAUUCGGAUUCACUGGGCGUAAAGGGUGCGUAGGUGGCGGGGCAAGUUUGGUGUGAAAUCCCGGGGCUCAACCUCGGAACUGCACUGAAUACUGCCUUGCUAGAGCACUGGAGAGGGAACUGGAAUUUACGGUGUAGCAGUGAAAUGCGUAGAUAUCGUAAGGAAGACCAGUGGCGAAGGCGAGUUCCUGGACAGUUGCUGACACUGAGGCACGAAGGCUAGGGGAGCAAACGGG